Long non-coding RNA from Oncorhynchus tshawytscha (Chinook salmon), 3667 nucleotides. NCBI's taxonomy places the organism in Eukaryota, Metazoa, Chordata, Actinopteri, Salmoniformes, Salmonidae. The record is from Ensembl.
AGGGACAGGGGGACACCUCUAGAUUAAAGAUUAAGGGGACCCAACCAACACAGAGAAACCAACUAAGGUAGGGACAGAUAGAGGGGGGUACCUACAUUCAGAAGGAAAAUGUUCCAACGCAGAAACAGGUAGGGACAGAUAGAGAAUGAAGAGUGAGGGAAAGAGGGGUAGGUAGAGGCCAGCUAGACUACAGUAGAGCGAGGUAGGUUGGGGCCAGCUAGACUGCAAUAGAGAAGGGUAGGUAGGGGCCAGCUAGACUGCAGUAGAGAAGGGUAGGUAGGGGCCAGCUAGACUACAGGAGAGAGGUAGGUAGGGGCCAGCUAGACUACAGUAGAGAGGGGUAGGUAGGUAGGGGCCAGCUAGACUACAGGAGAGAGGUAGGUAGGGGCCAGCUAGACUACAGUAGAGAGAGGUAGGUAGGGGCCAGGUAGACUACAGUAGAGAGAGGUAGGUAGGGGCCAGGUAGACUGCAGUAGAGAGAGGUAGGUAGGGGCCAGGUAGACUGCAGUAGAGAGAGGUAGGUAGGGGCCAGGUAGACUGCAGUAGAGAGAGGUAGGUAGAGAGGCCAGCUAGACUAUAGUAGAGAGAGGUAGGUAGAGGCCAGCUAGACUACAGUAGAGGUAGGUAGAGGCCAGCUAGACUACAGUAGAGGUAGGUAGAGGCCAGCUAGACUACAGUAGAGGUAGGUAGAGGCCAGCUAGACUACAGUAGAGGUAGGUAGAGGCCAGCUAGACUACAGAAGAGGGAAAGAGACUUAACAGAUUUCAAUCAGACUAGAAAAAAAAUCCACCACACAGAGAGCCAUAGACCGAGAGACUGACAGACACUCCCACAGUAAGACACACACACUUGCAAUACCUAGAGCUUUGUGUAGAUGGCGCUGUUACACUAGUCAGACUCCGACACUACCAGUAAGGGAUUAACAGUCAGUGGAGGGACAGACAGCGUGUUGGGGACAGACAGCGUGUUGGGGACAGACAGGUAGGUGUCUAGCCUCUGUUUAUUUCUGGGAGAGAGCUGUUUUUUUCCGGGGUAAAGGAUCUUCUAUAUGAAUUAAUAUUCCUCCUGUUGUUACUCGAUCACUGGUUCACUGCUGAUCUCUCCUCCACCAAGCAUGUUUUGGUUUCUGUCCUUUUCCCUAAGGAAUGCUUUCUUCCAUAUAAAUAUCAUGAGAUAAUUCUCAUGUUCUCGUCUAGAUAGACCGGGAUAACUAACCUCUUGGUUCAUACGAGUCAUCAUUAUAAGAGGGAGAGAAAUAGGGCUUAAAUAAUACCUGUUAUUCUUAGGUAAAGUUAGGAAACUACAGAUCACAGCCUCUCGCCUCUAGUUGUACCUGUUUGUGUGUCGUGUCUGAGUUUGUUUACCUAUUUGUUUACCAUACGUGACACUGUUGAUUGUUUUAAUAAGGUAACGAUUUAACACUUGACUCCUCCCACCCUGUUGUCCUCCACCUGUAAACUGUGACCAACUGUGUGUGUGUGUUGCCAUAGUGAUAUCUUGAGGAAAGAGAUUAAACCCAGAGUUGUUUAUCCUGAUAACGUGUUACAAGACGUCCAAAUUUUGUUGCUUUUUGUUUAUUAUUUUUUUAAUUUGCUGCUACUGUUUUUUUAGUUUCCAUGGUGAGCUUAAAUGAACACAAACAACACAUUUGUUUAUUUUUAGUUUUGUGGUUUUGCACUUUUAAUUUUUAAUUUUUGUAUUAAGGAUUUUUUUAAACUUCCCUCAUAAAGGACAUCUGAAUUUUACCGUCCGUGUUCUAUUGUGUCUUACUUACUGGGAAAACAGAAGCUCUAUUGUCUCUUACUUACUGGGAAAACAGAAGCUCUAUUGUGUCUUACUUACUGGGAAAACAGAAGCUCUAUUGUGUCUUACUGGGAAAACAGAAGCUCUAUUGUCUCUUACUUACUGGGAAAACAGAAGCUCUAUUGUGUCUUACUUACUGGGAAAACAAAAGCUCUAUUGUCUUACUUACUGGGAAAACAGAAGCUCUAUUGUCUCUUACUUACUGGGAAAACAGAAGCUCUAUUGUCUCUUACUGGGAAAACAAAAGUAGGAAUAUGAAAAUGGCAAAUAAAAAGUUAGUGAAACUGCGAGUAAUCCGCACUUUUACAGCGACUGACUGUGUACGUUUGUAUUUUCUAGGGAGAAGAGGUUGUAGCUGGAACUAGCCUACUGUGUGUGUGUGUGAGAGAAUAGUGUUGUUAUCCUUUUAACUUGUCUUUACUUUGUUCCAAGAUAAGAGCACAAUGUCCCUCCAACAGGACAGCGGAGCGAGGACUCAUACAGACAGACGGCAACAUCCUCCGUCCCAAAUGCCACUCUAUUCCCUAUAUAUAUAUUCCUCAUAGGGCUCUGGUCAAAAGUAGUGCAUUUUAAAGGGAAUGUUGCCGUUUUGUAUGCAGGCACAGACACCAUAGAGUUAGAGGAUGCACAUGAACAGAAACCGUUAUUGAACAUGUGCCCUCUAGCCAACUUUAUGUACAGUAUAGACAGCUGUGAGGUUGUCAGCAGUUUGAGGCCAGGAUUCAAUCCGAUCGGCCCAGCACCUUUUUAAAGACCAUGCUCCCACGUUCGUGGAGACCACAUUCACGGUAAACGCUGCUUAUGUCAGCUCAAUUGGAAAUGACCUUUAAAUGUCAUGAGGCAGAUCUAAUGUCAGCUCAAUUGGAAAUGACCUUUAAAUGUCAUGAGGCAGAUCUAAUGUCAGCUCAAUUGGAAAUUACCUUUAAAUGUCAUGAGGCAGAUCUAAUGUCAGCUCAAUUGGAAAUGACCUUUAAAUGUCAUGAGGCAGAUCUAAUGUCAGCUCAAUUGGAAAUGACCUUUAAAUGUCAUGAGGCAGAUCUAAUGUCAGCUCAAUUGGAAAUGACAUUUAAAUGUCAUGAGGCAGAUCUAAUGUCAGCUCAAUUGGAAAUGACAUUUAAAUGUCAUGAGGCAGAUCUAAUGUCAGCUCAAUUGGAAAUGACCUUUAAAUGUCAUGAGGCAGAUCUAAUGUCAGCUCAAUUGGAAAUGACCUUUAAAUGUCAUGAGGCAGAUCUAAUGUCAGCUCAAUUGGAAAUGACCUUUAAAUGUCAUGAGGCAGAUCUAAUGAGGAUUUGAAUGAAUCCCAGCCUUAGUGUCAUUAAAGGGGACGUUCAGUAUUUUGGACUUUGGCUUUUAAAGUUAGCUGAAGUUUUUAAUGGCUGUUUUAAAAAGAAAUCGAACCAGGGACUUCAGUUUCUCCUGAACCAUUGAACACUUUCAGGGUGAGGAACAAUCUAACAUUAAGUUGUAAAAUCCUGAACUUCCCCUUUAAUAUCCAUAUUAUCUCAGCUUCAGUGAAUUUGGACACAUUUUGCACAGAUGUAUAGAUGACUGACUGACCAGGACUGUGAUCAUAGAAGCGAUAAACUAAUCAAUGUACCAUUCAACAAAGACAAUCUACAUCUCCCCCAUUCUGCUAUCUCUAUUUCUAUCAUUUUAGAUUUUAGCUUUUUGUAUCCAUUUAAAUUUAUUUAGAUGUUUUUUUGUCAGGUUUCAAUGUUCUGUAGUAGAUCGUUUUGGACUCGUUAUGAUAUUGUGAUGACUUGAUUGCAUUUAUUAAUGAACCAAUUAAGUGUCUUUAGUAAAUGAGGGCUCUAACUUAUUUACUAACUUAUAGAACUUAAGGCUUAUUGAGGGAAGGCUGAGG